UGUGUGUGUGUGCGCGCCUA
Molecule: non-coding RNA, 20 nt
Filed under: Rattus norvegicus (Norway rat)
Lineage: Eukaryota; Metazoa; Chordata; Mammalia; Rodentia; Muridae
Source: RNAcentral